This 497-nucleotide ribosomal RNA is filed under the name uncultured bacterium. RNAcentral describes it as "partial 16S ribosomal RNA". It matches the Rfam family "Bacterial small subunit ribosomal RNA", at positions 28 to 507 of the family's 1533-position model. The record is from RNAcentral.
GAUGAACGCUGGCGGCGUGCCUAAUACAUGCAAGUCGAGCGAACGGACGAGAAGCUUGCUUUUCUGAUGUUAGCGGCGGACGGGUGAGUAACACGUGGAUAACCUACCUAUAAGACUGGGAUAACUUCGGGAAACCGGAGCUAAUACCGGAUAAUAUUUUGAAUCUCAUGGUUCAAAAGUGAAAGACGGUCUUGCUGUCACUUAUAGAUGGAUCCGCGCUGCAUUAGCUAGUUGUUAAGGUAACGGCUUACCAAGGCAACGAUGCAUAGCCGACCUGAGAGGGUGAUCGGCGACACUGGAACUGAGACACGGUCCAGACUCCUACGGGAGGCAGCAGUAGGGAAUCUUCCGCAAGGGGCGAAAGCCUGACGGAGCAACGCCGCGUGAGUGAUGAAGGUCUUCGGAUCGUAAAACUCUGUUAUUAGGGAAGAACAUAUGUGUAAGUAACUGUGCACAUCUUGACGGUACCUAAUCAGAAAGCCACGGCUAACUACGUG